Toxorhynchites rutilus septentrionalis is the source of this 2698-nucleotide long non-coding RNA. RefSeq lists it as uncharacterized. The record is from RefSeq and is a predicted model, not a curated record. Lineage: Eukaryota; Metazoa; Arthropoda; Insecta; Diptera; Culicidae. The transcript has 9 exons.
AACAACUGAUCAUACAACUGGUGAGUACGGAAAUUGUUUUGCUUUCUAUUAAUUUCUAAUUUUAUAUUUUAUCAUUAAUUAUUUCAUUUUAUUUCUGAGAAUUUUCAGCAAAACAAGUCUUGAGAGAUCAUCAAGACAGAAGAUGAGCCACAUGUCCCCAACAUCAAUUUGCCCAAGGAUAUCACAAUAAAAUAACUAAGAUACCACCUGAGAACUAUGAUAAUACCACAACACAACAACUGUACGAUGGAAUGUAAAAAAAAACUAUUGAUAGUAAAUGGAUACAAAAUAGUUCCAGUUUAUUUUGUCAGGAUGCCGAAAGCUACUUCUUUUGAAGCAAAACCAGCUUCUACCAAUUUAUCCACGAGUAUCACGAAACGUCAGUUUCGUGGUAAUGAACUUAUACAUUACUAUUUUAGCACAAUAACCACAAACUUCAAUCAAUUUUAUUUGAUUUUUGUUUGUUUUUCAAUGCACAAAUAAGUAAUUAUGUCAUCAUUAUGAUUUUUGUUAUAGAUACUAGAAGUAACUAUACAGUUUUAUUACAGACAAAAAAAAUUGGAUAUCAUGAACAGAUAUAUCAUUGCGAAAAAUGCUAUAAAGAACAUAAGCGUUGACAUCCAAGCAUCUCAGAAGACGAAUAUUUGUUCGGACAGCAAAAUUCGCCUAUCAGUAAGAUCUGACGAAGAUCUAUCAACUCUUGAAGGGAGAAAUUGGCUUACGAGAGAGAUUCAACAUAGAGUCAUCUGAAUCAUUGUACGGUUUUUUUCAUCUACUGUGCAGCUGCUGUUCGCAAACGUGGACUGGUAAGUCUGCGUAUAAUGCUCAGUAUGGCACAGCAUCUGGCAAUGCGUCUGAGCUUCAUGUAGUUGCUGUUCUAAUAGAUGUUGCACAAACAAAAUUCCAUGUUGAUCGAAGCCGUUCCAAAACUGAAUUCUGGAGAGUGCUACAUAACUCUUAAUGAAGCAGUAGCUUCUCGUUGGAAGCGUAAAACAUUGACAAUCUUCCUGGCUAGCAGACCGGCGAACCUUAUCCGAUGUUGCACAAACAAAAUUCCAUGUUGAUCGAAGCCGUUCCAAAACUGAAUUCUGGAGAGUGCUACAUAACUCUUAAUGAAGCGGUAGCUUCUCGUUGGAAGCGUAAAACAUUGACAAUCUUCCUGGCUAGCAGACCGGCGAACCUUAUCCGACAAAAAAAAUUGGAUAUCAUGACAGAUAUAUCAUCGCGAAAAAUGCUAUAAAGAACAUAAGCGUUGACAUCCAAACAUCUCAAAAGACGAAUAUUUGUUCGGACAGCAAAAUUCGCCUAUCAGUAAGAUCUGACGAAGAUCUAUCAACUCUUGAAGGGAGAAAUUGGCUUACGAGAGAGAUUCAACAUAGAGUCAUCUGAAUCAUUGUACAGUUUUUUUCAUCUACUGUGCAGCUGCUGUUCGCAAACUUGGACUGGUAAGUCUGCGUAUAAUGCUCAGUAUGGCACAGCAUCUGGCAAUGCGUCUGAGCUUCAUGUAGUUGCUGUUCUAAUAGAUGUUGCACAAACAAAAUUCCAUGUUGAUCGAAGCCGUUCCAAAACUGAAUUCUGGAGAGUGCUACAUAACUCUUAAUGAAGCGGUAGCUUCUCGUUGGAAGCGUAAAACAUUGACAAUCUUCCUGGCUAGCAGACCGGCGAACCUUAUCCGACAAAAAAAAUGGAUAUCAUGACAGAUAUAUCAUUGCGAAAAAUGCUAUAAAGAACAUAAGCGUUGACAUCCAAACAUCUCAAAAGACGAAUAUUUGUUCGGACAGCAAAAUUCGCCUAUCAGUAAGAUCUGACGAAGAUCUAUCAACUCUUGAAGGGAGAAAUUGGCUUACGAGAGAGAUUCAACAUAGAGUCAUCUGAAUCAUUGUACAGUUUUUUUCAUCUACUGUGCAGCUGCUGUUCGCAAACUUGGACUGGUAAGUCUGCGUAUAAUGCUCAGUAUGGCACAGCAUCUGGCAAUGCGUCUGAGCUUCAUGUAGUUGCUGUUCUAAUAGAUGUUGCACAAACAAAAUUCCAUGUUGAUCGAAGCCGUUCCAAAACUGAAUUCUGGAGAGUGCUACAUAACUCUUAAUGAAGCGGUAGCUUCUCGUUGGAAGCGUAAAACAUUGACAAUCUUCCUGGCUAGCAGACCGGCGAACCUUAUCCGAUGUUGCACAAACAAAAUUCCAUGUUGAUCGAAGCCGUUCCAAAACUGAAUUCUGGAGAGUGCUACAUAACUCUUAAUGAAGCGGUAGCUUCUCGUUGGAAGCGUAAAACAUUGACAAUCUUCCUGGCUAGCAGACCGGCGAACCUUAUCCGGUAACAAGAUUUAAAUAAUUUUGAUAAUGUUAAAUGAUAAUGAUAAAAAAAUGGAUGGGUUAUAUCUAUGAUAAAACCGCAAGGUUAACGUGGGACUAUCAUCUUAGCCGGAUUAGUAAUCAAUGAAACCAUUUUCGAAUUCAAUUGAAUUCAACACAUUUUCUUUGUAUGUAAAAAAUUUGAACAAACGCCAAAAAUACCUGACUUGCAUGCGUUUACGAUGCCGAUUUCCUCAGGCUGCUUGGUUUUGAAGUCUGUGUUAGGGAACACAUUUUUAUUGAGAACAGAAGUUCCCCCAACUUUCAUGUAUUUGCAAUGCCGAUUUCCUCAGGCUGCUUGGUUUAGAAGUCUGUGUUGGAGAAACCGUAAAUCGCGACCAAUUAAA